This 136-nucleotide small nuclear RNA is filed under the name Mesocricetus auratus (golden hamster). RNAcentral's name for it is "U1 spliceosomal RNA (ENSMAUG00000003567.1)". Lineage: Eukaryota; Metazoa; Chordata; Mammalia; Rodentia; Cricetidae. The record is from RNAcentral.
CUGUUAAGCAGGGAGGGGAAGAUACCAUGAUCACGAAGGUGGUUUUCCCAGGGUGAGGCUUAUCCCUUGCACCCUGAAUGUGCUGACCCAAUUGUGGGGAACUCAUAGUGUGGGGGCGCAUUCUCACUCUCCCCUU